GUCUCACUUAGGCAGCACAUACAUAUAAACUAGAACGAUACAGAAAAGAUUAGCACGGCCCCUCUGCCAGGAUAACACGCAAAUUCAUGAAGUGUUCCAUAUUUAA
RNAcentral lists this small nuclear RNA (106 nucleotides) under Salvator merianae (Argentine black and white tegu). Lineage: Eukaryota; Metazoa; Chordata; Lepidosauria; Squamata; Teiidae. The record is from RNAcentral.